UGGGGAAUCUUGCACAAUGGGGGCAACCCUGAUGCAGCGACGCCGCGUGAGCGAUGAAGCCCUUCGGGGCGUAAAGCUCUUUCGACCGGAACGAUAAUGACGGUACCGGGAGAAGAAGCUGCGGCUAAUUACGUGCCAGCAGCCGCGGUCAUACGUAGGCAGCAAGCGUUGUUCGGAGUUACUAGGCGUAAAGAGUGCGUAGGCGGUUUUCUAAGUUCGGUGUGAAAUCUCCCGGCUUAACUGGGAGGGUGCGCCGAAGACUGGGAAUCUGGAGUGUGGGAAAGGCAGGCGGAAUUCCUGGUGUAGCGGUGAAAUGCGUAGAUAUCAGGAGGAACACCGGCGGUGUAGACGGCUUGCUAGACCAUAACUGACGCUGAGGCACGAAAGCUCGGGUAGCAAACA
Molecule: ribosomal RNA, 402 nt
Filed under: uncultured bacterium
Lineage: Bacteria
Description: bacterial SSU rRNA
Rfam family: Bacterial small subunit ribosomal RNA
Source: RNAcentral